UUGCUGGCGACCGGCGCACGGGUGAGUAACACGUAUCCAACCUGCCGAUGACUCGGGGAUAGCCUUUCGAAAGAAAGAUUAAUACCCGAUGGCAUAGUUCUUCCGCAUGGUAGAACUAUUAAAGAAUUUCGGUCAUCGAUGGGGAUGCGUUCCAUUAGGUUGUUGGCGGGGUAACGGCCCACCAAGCCUUCGAUGGAUAGGGGUUCUGAGAGGAAGGUCCCCCACAUUGGAACUGAGACACGGUCCAA
This 248-nucleotide ribosomal RNA is filed under the name uncultured bacterium. RNAcentral describes it as "partial 16S ribosomal RNA". It matches the Rfam family "Bacterial small subunit ribosomal RNA", at positions 85 to 334 of the family's 1533-position model. The record is from RNAcentral.